RNAcentral lists this ribosomal RNA (460 nucleotides) under uncultured bacterium. RNAcentral's name for it is "partial 16S ribosomal RNA". It matches the Rfam family "Bacterial small subunit ribosomal RNA", at positions 338 to 795 of the family's 1533-position model. The record is from RNAcentral.
CCUACGGGGGGCAGCAGUGAGGAAUAUUGGUCAAUGGGCGAGAGCCUGAACCAGCCAAGUCGCGUGAAGGAUGACGGCCCUACGGGUUGUAAACUUCUUUUGUCAGGGAGCAAUUGGGUCCACGCGUGGGCUUAGCGAGAGUACCUGAAGAAAAAGCAUCGGCUAACUCCGUGCCAGCAGCCGCGGUAAUACGGAGGAUGCGAGCGUUAUCCGGAUUUAUUGGGUUUAAAGGGUGCGUAGGCGGAAUAUCAAGUCAGCGGUAAAAAUUCGGGGCUCAACCCCGUCGUGCCGUUGAAACUGAUGUUCUGGAGUGGGCGAGAAGUAUGCGGAAUGCGUGGUGAAGCGGUGAAAUGCAUAGAUAUAACGCAGAACUCCGAUUGCGAAGGCAGCAUACCGGCGCCCAACUGACGCUGAAGCACGAAAGCGUGGGUAUCGAACAGGAUUAGAUACCCGAGUAGUC